CGGGAUCUCAAACCACAGAAUGUCUUGAUCGAUGUUAAAGGAAGGGCAAGAUUAGCUGAUUUUGGCAUAAGCAGACGGUUACUCAUGGGACAAACAACUCUACGCACAAGCAGUGUAGGAACAAAAUGCUGGAUGGCCAAGGAGACUUUAGAAGGAAGACCUGACACACCAUACAAGUGGAGCACUGACAUACAGGUGGCAGGGAUGCUGGUUUAUUAUAUCCUCUCUAGAGGACACCAUCCUUUUGGUGACA
Non-coding RNA from Epinephelus lanceolatus (giant grouper), 253 nucleotides. The record is from RefSeq and is a predicted model, not a curated record. NCBI's taxonomy places the organism in Eukaryota, Metazoa, Chordata, Actinopteri, Perciformes, Serranidae.